CGGUAACACUACGUUGAAACACUGGUUACCAUACGAUCACCAAAGUUAAGCAACAUCGAGCCUGUUCAGUAUCUAGAUGGGUGACCACUUGGGAAUAUCAGGCGCUGUAAU
Acanthosepion pharaonis is the source of this 111-nucleotide non-coding RNA. Lineage: Eukaryota; Metazoa; Mollusca; Cephalopoda; Sepiida; Sepiidae. The record is from the annotation of a GenBank genome assembly.